AGUGAACGCUGGCGGCGUGCCUAACACAUGCAAGUCGAACGAUGAUGGAGAGCUUGCUCUCCUGAUUAGUGGCGCACGGGUGAGUAUACCAUAGAUAAUGUACCUCUUAGUUCGGGAUAGCCACUGGAAACGGUGAUUAAUACCGGAUACUCCUUCUUGUCUUAAGACAAGUCGGGAAAGUUUUUUCGCUAAGAGAUCAGUCUAUGUCCUAUCAGCUAGUUGGUGAGGUAAUGGCUCACCAAGGCUAUGACGGGUAUCUGGUUUGAGAGGAUGAUCAGACACACUGGAACUGAGACACGGUCCAGACUCCUACGGGAGGCAGCAGUGAGGAAUAUUGCACAAUGGAGGAAACUCUGAUGCAGCAACGCCGCGUGGAGGAUGACGCAUUUCGGUGUGUAAACUCCUUUUAAGAGGGAAGAUAAUGACGGUACCUCUUGAAUAAGCACCGGCUAACUCCGUGCCAGCCGCCGCGGUAA
Molecule: ribosomal RNA, 476 nt
Filed under: uncultured bacterium
Lineage: Bacteria
Description: partial 16S ribosomal RNA
Rfam family: Bacterial small subunit ribosomal RNA
Source: RNAcentral